CUGCAUGGAGCCGGCCUUGAAAUACCACCCUUUAAUGUUUGAUGUUCUAACGUGGACCCGUGAUCCGGGUUGCGGACAGUGUCUGGUGGGUAGUUUGACUGGGGCGGUCUCCUCCUAAAGAGUAACGGAGGAGCACGAAGGUUGGCUAAUCCUGGUCGGACAUCAGGAGGUUAGUGCAAUGGCAUAAGCCAGCUUGACUGCGAGCGUGACGGCGCGAGCAGGUGCGAAAGCAGGUCAUAGUGAUCCGGUGGUUCUGAAUGGAAGGGCCAUCGCUCAACGGAUAAAAGGUACUCCGGGGAUAACAGGCUGAUACCGCCCAAGAGUUCAUAUCGACGGCGGUGUUUGGCACCUCGAUGUCGGCUCAUCACAUCCUGGGGCUGAAGUAGGUCCCAAGGGUAUGGCUGUUCGCCAUUUAAAGUGGUACGCGAGCUGGGUUUAGAACGUCGUGAGACAGUUCGGUCCCUAUCUGCCGUGGGCGCUGGAGAACUGAGGGGGGCUGCUCCUAGUACGAGAGGACCGGAGUGGACGCAUCACUGGUGUUCGGGUUGUCAUGCCAAUGGCACUGCCCGGUAGCUAAAUGCGGAAGAGAUAAGUGCUGAAAGCAUCUAAGCACGAAACUUGCCCCGA
Molecule: ribosomal RNA, 627 nt
Filed under: Salmonella enterica
Lineage: Bacteria; Pseudomonadati; Pseudomonadota; Gammaproteobacteria; Enterobacterales; Enterobacteriaceae
Also listed under: 1 other name
Description: partial 23S ribosomal RNA
Rfam family: Bacterial large subunit ribosomal RNA
Source: RNAcentral